AUGGCCAAGCAUACUUCCCUUGGGACACUGCUCCAUGCCACGUGUGCCACUACCAAAAAGGUCCUGUUCCUGUCCUUCCGUGGCAAAGGGGGAAGGGUGGGCUGGGCAUCCCUAGAUGGUGCUACACCAGCGGUUGGACGGCGGCAUUAUAAUCGCGUCAGGACAACCUCUGGGACUCGCCAUACCUGCAAUCCAACCGGGAAAACGAAGCUGUUUGCAACAGUUAACCCAAAAGGUAACAAAAUAAUUAGCUCGGUCGCAGCAGCAGCACCCGCCAACCGCGCCCGCCACUGCGCCAUCGCGGGCGGGGUGGGGGGGGAAGGGAGGGAGGAAAAUGCUCGAUCGGCCCGGCAAAGGAGCAAAGCUUUCCAGCCGGGAGCCCCUUCUGCAAAAAAAGCUGUCUCUAGGACUGAGGGACCCCUGACGGGAGACGGAAGGCCAGCCGCCCGCACCCGCUGGGCUUGCUGCUGCUGUCGCCGCCUCCCAGCGGGCGGUGGGCCAAGGCGGCGAUGGAGACCGCAGCAGCAGCCGCUCUUUGCAUCCAAAGCAAAGCAGCUCUUUGCCGUCCAGGCGGCAAAAUUGGUGGCUUUAGGACCGGGGGACAGCGACCUGCCAGGCGGGGAGAGGGCGCAUCAGGGCUCGGCAUCGGAAGCAGCCUCGGGGCGCUCGUCCUUCCAGCGGGAAGGAGAGAGAGGAAGCAGAGCCGGAUCCUCCGCGGAGCAAAGCCCAGACCCAGCGGCGGGUCCCCUUUCGCCCCAUUCCCCACAGCCUUAUCUGCUGACUCCUUUGUCUAGAGGCUCUCCUCUUUCUCUGCGGCUCCAUGUGGCCGAGCGCUAGGACCGCGGAGGAAGGAGAGGAAAUGGAGGCGCGGGGCGGAGUGGGAGAGAGUCUCUAAGCAGCAAUGACCUGGAACUGCAGGGAUUCCUCUUCUUCUUCUCCGGCUGCAAAGGCAGCGUCUGCCUUUGAGACAAAGGGAGGCGACCUCGAUGCUCGUCUCCUUGGAUUAGAAGGGGGGGAUACGAAAGGGGUAAGGGGAGGCGAGGGGCAGCCAGAGGAAGUGUGGCGUGUCCCUGGAGGGAAGCAGGCAGGCGUUGCACCAAGCGGAAGUGUAGCGAAGCUGCUCCAGGGAACCUUUUGGAGAGUGCACCAGACGGGGGAUAUGGCAUUUCCAAGAGGGUAGCACCGAUGAUAUUACUUAGAUUGGGUAAUGAAAAAUCUGCAAGGCAAUAAGCAAGCUCAGGGAGCACCAAAGAGCCCUCGUUUCCAAGCCUUGUACUUCCAGUCAGUGCAAAGUCCUCUUGGCUUCCUGUCAUGUCGGGUUCGUAGACGAUUUCCGGCAAAAGUGGCUGGCCUCUUGUUCUGCUUUACGCUCUAGAUGGGUAUAAAGCAGACAGAGCAACUCCACAAAUCAUCUAUACAAAGUCUUUUUUAUUGGUUCAUCAGGCAUCCUGUCAACUCACAGUUAUGAUGAGGUUCUUCUUAAUGUCCAAUCCUUUGCAUAUCUGAAUCGUGGUGUAGAAAGAUAUUAAACUCUCAUCCUUAUGAUGAUAAUUGAUAAUUGUAGUGACUGCAUGGCUAGACUGCAUGGAUUCAGGCUAGAGUGAGGAAGCCUCCCCCAACCCAACAAGGGUCAAUUUAGUGACCAAUCAGGAUUACAGAUGUGACCACAUGACAUGGACUACAUUUCCCAUGAUAUCUUAACUACAUUUCCCAUGAUGCAUUCCCUUAAGGGGACAGCUCUCAAUUCCUAACUACCUAUCCCAAAUCCCAUUAACUCUAAACUGGCUGGACAGCAUACUCCCCGCCUGGAAUUGUAAAUUCCACUAACUAAGUAAGGAGCAAUUAACUAAGAUAAACAGUAAAGAGUAAUACUGAAUAGCAGAUAAUUAUAUAAGUAAAAUAGGCAGUAAACAGUAAUACUAACUGAAUAGCAGAUAACUAUAUAACUAAAAUAAACAGGUAGCUAUAUAAGUAAAGGAAACAGUAAAUAGCAAUAAAGCAUCAAACAAAGCAAAGCAUGCAAAGCUUGAGGUUCAAUCUUCAAGUUCAGCCUUUCUCCGUAGCAACACUAGGUCGGUGACCGGUCAGGAGUAGAGCUUCUUGGACUUCUGGUUCCGCCCUCCUCGUUGACAGACUGGGGACAGCGACUGUGUGCAGCCUUGGUUCGUGCUCUCGGAGACCCCCAAUCUGUCCGAUUAGGGGCUGAAGCUGCCUCGGAGGGGCAGCGGAGUAAGGGGAAACCGCAAGCCAGGUCAAGGAGAGCCGCAUCUCUCAUCCCUGGGCUUGGCAUUUUUUCCCUUGAAGACAACCGAACGGUGGUCCAAAAUGGCCACCCUGAAGAGGAGGACCUAGCCGGGCUAAGCUUGUGCAGGAGGAAAGAAAGAGGUGGACAACAUAAGAACCGGGACAAUUUGGCGCAACAACUAAUUUAAAAGGUACCCCAGGAUUGAUGUUUAAACUAUUUUUUUUUAAAGAAAGAAAGCGGCGGAAUUAGAAAAAGAAGGAAAAAAGUGAAAAUACUUUUUACAGCUGAGUGAGGCUUUGAACCGGAAUAGGAAGAAGCCUGUAGUAGCCACUGAGAUUCCCUGGAUGACACUAGAAGCUAGCAGCACACUGCAGCCUGGUGGAGGGGGCCUCUUUUGCUAACCCAUGAUCUCAUCCUCUAUCUGUUGGGUUGGAAAGUCCCUGAUUUUCCAGGUAUAUAGGUGAUCUCAUUUACUAACAUCACCACCAACCUUAAGGAUUGGUUGAGGGGUUAUACCAAUGUGGUUGAGGGGUUUCACCCAUGUGGGAUCUAUUCUCCAAUCCCAAUGCUGUAUCUAUGCUGCUCUUUCUUGCUUGUAAAAAUGGUAUAAAAAUAAUAAAUGCCACAUAUGUGGUCAGACAUCUUUGGACACUGAAAUGACUGGUUAUUGAAUUCCCACAAAUGGUGCCCGAACAGGGACAACAAUCCUCCGGGGUAGGCAACAGCCAACGUACUUACUGCCAUCUGAAAUAGACCCUAAGGUGCACCUUCGUCCCACGGGACCCCUUCAGUGGUAAGUAUGGGUUGCAAUCGGUCUCAGCAUCAGCAGAAACAUGUUCAGGAACUUAAAUUCCUGUUACAUAAAUCAGGUGCAAUAGUACCUGAGGCUGACAUAAAUAAGCUGAUUGAGGAGAUAGGGAAACAUUGUCCCUGGUACCCUGAGCGCUGGACGCUCAGGUUACAGGAUUGGAUAAAGAUAGGGCAUACUUUACAUCUUGAACCCAGGGCUCCAGUUCAAAUAUUAUAUCUAUGGUAUCAAUGCUGUCAUGCAGUGGAAACAUCUGGCUCUGAUGUCUCAGCAAAAUAAUAAUUGUCUAUAAGCCCCACUCCUGAUUAUGAUCAGGUAAAAAUUGUCACUCAAAAAUCUUCUCUAAUUGGACUUUCAGCUCCUUCUGAGCAGGCUAAAUUUGUUGAUUCUCCAAAGCCAUUGUACACCCCCAUAAAGCAAAUAUUAAAGAAACAAUUAGAAAAAGGGGGAGAUUCAAGCUAGAAACCCAAGACAACACAUAAAUUUAUUUGUUUACAUUUUUAUGUUUAAUCUUUUUUGAUUAUUUAGUGUUUAAAGAGAUAGAACAAUGGAUGUAACUAGAAUACAGGCAACUGCUCUCUUCUGAUGCACUGGAUGGCAGAAUUGAAUGUAGAAGGCAUGCCCUAUUGAGUUCAAUGGUCUACAGUUGGUUCUGCUGUUCAGAAGCAUGGAACGAGGCACAGAUCUGUUAGGAAGCCCCUCCAUACAAUACAAUGGGGCUGUUCAAAGAAAAUAUGGUUAAUUUAGACUGUUAUGUGUUAGGAAGAACUAAGAGAAGAAUAAAAUGUUUACUAUUCUUUUCAUGAUGUGAUUUUCAUUAAAACUUCUUAGAUGUG
Molecule: long non-coding RNA, 3889 nt
Organism: Naja naja (Indian cobra)
Lineage: Eukaryota; Metazoa; Chordata; Lepidosauria; Squamata; Elapidae
Source: Ensembl